Long non-coding RNA from Notothenia coriiceps (black rockcod), 172 nucleotides. RefSeq lists it as uncharacterized. The transcript is spliced from 3 exons. Lineage: Eukaryota; Metazoa; Chordata; Actinopteri; Perciformes; Nototheniidae. The record is from RefSeq and is a predicted model, not a curated record.
UUGAGGUAGAGAUCUUUCUACUGACCAUGCUACAGCAGUGAGCAGCAGAGGUGGGGAGAGGCGGGGCUAUUGUGUCAUCUUUAUCAGGAAAUUAUCAUAUAGGACGUAGACACGGAGCCGUUUGGCCCCCUAGAGCGUUGCGUCAGCAGAUCUACCCACCUUGGGACCCGUU